AUUAAAGUUGUUGCAGUUAAAAAGCUCGUAGUUGGAUUUGAUGGGAGGGGAGGUUUAUGUUCUCGAACGUAAUACUUCCCCCACCAUUUGGGUCCUCGCGGACCCAGUCACUUUGAAAAAAUUAGAGUGUUCAAAGCAGGCUAUCACGCCCGAAUAGAUAUCAUGGAAUGACAGAACAGGACCGUUUGUGGGCCAAUUUCUGUGGGUUUUACACCACCGGUAAUGAUUAAGAGGGACGGAGUCGGGGGCAUCAGUAUUCAAAAGUCAGAGGUGAAAUUCUUGGAUUUUUUGAAGACUAACUACUGCGAAAGCAUUUGCCAAGGACGUUUUCAUUAAUCAAGAACGAAAGUUAGGGGAUCGAAGAUGAUCAGAUACCGUCGUAGUCUUAACCGUAAACUAUGCCGACUGGGGAUGGGCUGCUACACAAUACAAACAUAGCAGCCCGCACCCACCGAGAAAUCAAAGUCUUUGGGUUCCGGGGGGAGUAUGGUCGCAAGGCUGAAACUUAAAGGAAUUGACGGAAGGGCACCACCAGGAGUGGAGCCUGCGGCUUAAUUUGACUCAACACGGGGAAACUCACCAGGUCCAGACACAAUAAGGAUUGACAGAUUGAGAGCUCUUUCUUGAUUUUGUGGGUGGUGGUGCAUGGCCGUUCUUAGUUGGUGGAGUGAUUUGUCUGCUUAAUUGCGAUAACGAACGAGACCUUGAGCGGGUGUUGGGGAGCCUUAUAUUUUUUAUGUAGGGUACUUCUGAUACCUGCGACAACUGGCGCAAGCCAGCGGAAGCGAGGCAAUAACAGGUCUGUGAUGCCCUUAGACGUUCUGGGCCGCACGCGCGCUACACUGACGCAGCCAGCGAGUAUAUUAAUUUGUCCUUGGCCGAGAGGUCUGGGGAAACUUGUGAAACUGCGUCGUGCUGGGGAUAGAGCAUUGUAAUUGUUGCUCUUGAACGAGGAAUUCCUAGUAAGCGCAAGUCAUCAGCUUGCGUUGAUUACGUCCCUGCCCUUUGUACACACCGCCCGUCGCUACUACCGAUUGAAUGGCUUAGUGAGGCUCCGGGAGAUGCUGGUUCUGAGGGUGACCUUGGAGCCGGUGUCGAACUCAUCCAAACUUGGUCAUUUAGAGGAAGUAAAAGUCGUAACAAGGUUUCCGUAGGUGAACCUGCGGAAG
This 1169-nucleotide ribosomal RNA is filed under the name Phaffomyces opuntiae. RNAcentral describes it as "SSU rRNA". It matches the Rfam family "Eukaryotic small subunit ribosomal RNA", at positions 603 to 1823 of the family's 1831-position model. The record is from RNAcentral. Lineage: Eukaryota; Fungi; Ascomycota; Saccharomycetes; Phaffomycetales; Phaffomycetaceae.